Molecule: ribosomal RNA, 1463 nt
Filed under: Klebsiella aerogenes
Lineage: Bacteria; Pseudomonadati; Pseudomonadota; Gammaproteobacteria; Enterobacterales; Enterobacteriaceae
Description: bacterial SSU rRNA
Rfam family: Bacterial small subunit ribosomal RNA
Source: RNAcentral
UUGAACGCUGGCGGCAGGCCUAACACAUGCAAGUCGAGCGGUAGCACAGAGAGCUUGCUCUCGGGUGACGAGCGGCGGACGGGUGAGUAAUGUCUGGGAAACUGCCUGAUGGAGGGGGAUAACUACUGGAAACGGUAGCUAAUACCGCAUAACGUCGCAAGACCAAAGUGGGGGACCUUCGGGCCUCAUGCCAUCAGAUGUGCCCAGAUGGGAUUAGCUAGUAGGUGGGGUAAUGGCUCACCUAGGCGACGAUCCCUAGCUGGUCUGAGAGGAUGACCAGCCACACUGGAACUGAGACACGGUCCAGACUCCUACGGGAGGCAGCAGUGGGGAAUAUUGCACAAUGGGCGCAAGCCUGAUGCAGCCAUGCCGCGUGUAUGAAGAAGGCCUUCGGGUUGUAAAGUACUUUCAGCGAGGAGGAAGGCGUUAAGGUUAAUAACCUUGGCGAUUGACGUUACUCGCAGAAGAAGCACCGGCUAACUCCGUGCCAGCAGCCGCGGUAAUACGGAGGGUGCAAGCGUUAAUCGGAAUUACUGGGCGUAAAGCGCACGCAGGCGGUCUGUCAAGUCGGAUGUGAAAUCCCCGGGCUCAACCUGGGAACUGCAUUCGAAACUGGCAGGCUAGAGUCUUGUAGAGGGGGGUAGAAUUCCAGGUGUAGCGGUGAAAUGCGUAGAGAUCUGGAGGAAUACCGGUGGCGAAGGCGGCCCCCUGGACAAAGACUGACGCUCAGGUGCGAAAGCGUGGGGAGCAAACAGGAUUAGAUACCCUGGUAGUCCACGCCGUAAACGAUGUCGACUUGGAGGUUGUGCCCUUGAGGCGUGGCUUCCGGAGCUAACGCGUUAAGUCGACCGCCUGGGGAGUACGGCCGCAAGGUUAAAACUCAAAUGAAUUGACGGGGGCCCGCACAAGCGGUGGAGCAUGUGGUUUAAUUCGAUGCAACGCGAAGAACCUUACCUACUCUUGACAUCCAGAGAACUUAGCAGAGAUGCUUUGGUGCCUUCGGGAACUCUGAGACAGGUGCUGCAUGGCUGUCGUCAGCUCGUGUUGUGAAAUGUUGGGUUAAGUCCCGCAACGAGCGCAACCCUUAUCCUUUGUUGCCAGCGGUCCGGCCGGGAACUCAAAGGAGACUGCCAGUGAUAAACUGGAGGAAGGUGGGGAUGACGUCAAGUCAUCAUGGCCCUUACGAGUAGGGCUACACACGUGCUACAAUGGCAUAUACAAAGAGAAGCGACCUCGCGAGAGCAAGCGGACCUCAUAAAGUAUGUCGUAGUCCGGAUUGGAGUCUGCAACUCGACUCCAUGAAGUCGGAAUCGCUAGUAAUCGUAGAUCAGAAUGCUACGGUGAAUACGUUCCCGGGCCUUGUACACACCGCCCGUCACACCAUGGGAGUGGGUUGCAAAAGAAGUAGGUAGCUUAACCUUCGGGAGGGCGCUUACCACUUUGUGAUUCAUGACUGGGGUGAA